GAUGUAUACGUGCAAAUCACAGGGCAUAUG
This 30-nucleotide non-coding RNA is filed under the name Homo sapiens (human). The record is from RNAcentral. Lineage: Eukaryota; Metazoa; Chordata; Mammalia; Primates; Hominidae.